ACAAAUUAUUAGUGAUGGGCGAUACCAGGAUUUUUAAUUCGAUACCGAUACCGAUACUUUUAAGAUUGGUAUCGGCCGAUACCGAUACCUAUUUCGAUACCAAAAUGAACACAAAAUUUCAAUUUUCGAUACCGGAAAUGAGUACUUAAAUUGCUAGUAUCGGCUACUUUCGAUACCUGCCGGUCAGCGGAAAAACAUUUUAUAUCACUGUAUGUAACCUAAAUAAAGCUAUAUGUAAACCAAAAGCCUGAAACGUAAUAAAUAUUUUCUAUACAUGACUUGGCGCAUUUGGAAUAUUAAGACUUAUUUUAGUGGUUCAUUAUAAGUCUUAUUCAACCUAACCUGCGAUCAGGGGACCAAGAAGUGAAAUUAAACAAGUCGUUUAAAAAAGGGUACAAGUAUCGAACGAUACCACGUCAGUAAUCGAUACCGAUACCGCUGUUUGUGGUAUCGCUGGUAUCGAAUACCGAGUACUCGGUAUCGCCCAUCACUA
Non-coding RNA from Paramuricea clavata, 493 nucleotides. The record is from the annotation of a GenBank genome assembly. NCBI's taxonomy places the organism in Eukaryota, Metazoa, Cnidaria, Anthozoa, Malacalcyonacea, Plexauridae.